GGCCAUGCCGUGCCGUACCGGGCCGGCCCGUUUGGCCAGGUAUGCUCCCUUGUGAGGAGCUCGCCAUCGUCCUCCUCUCGCCCUCCCCUUCCCUCGCCGGAAGGGAGAAAAGAACUAGAGGGAGGGAGAUCCAUCCCGAUCCAUUCGGGGCUAGGGUUCGGGCGGGGCGUCGCUGGCGGCCUCUCCGCACUUCUUCGACCGGAUCCGCCGCCCCCACCUCCCCUCCAUCUCUCAGCCCCCCACCUCACGGACGACCAGAGUCGCACGGCAGAGCACCGCCGCGCCGGGGAAGAGGAGAUGAUGAUGGGGAUGAUCAACGCGAACCAGGUGGUGCACGAGCGGCCGGAGCGCGCCUCCCACCUCGCGCACGCGGCGCUUGACACGCUCGACGUCUUCGGUAACUACAGGAGCGCCCGGAUCCCCUACUCGGUUCCCCUCUUUCGUUUUUUCCUCUCUCUCCAUUGAUUGGCUUCAGCGACCGACGGGGGAUUGAUGGAUUUGUGUUUGUGUGUGCAGAUACAGUGCGGGACAUCAAGGACCCGGAGCAUCCAUACUCGCUGGCUACUAGAUCUGGAGCUGGUAAAUCACAGGUUUAUACACACGAUCCCUUUGUAAUAAGCGCCCUGGAUCUAAUCCUUCUCGAUUUAUUGAUUUCUUCCUAAUUACAUUGCAUCCAUCAUCAUCCAUGUGUAAUGUGUAGCUGAUCUUCAUCCAAUAUACUAGCAGGUUAAUUAUAGGAUUAUUCCACUUAUAUUCCUUUAAUUCGCAUGGUUAAUUAGCUCCUGCUGUACAUGCAUGUUAAUUAGAAACCGUUAGAUUUUUUUCGUUAACUUUAAUCAUCCACCGAUGCUACGCAGGAGUAGCAUGUAGUGCCCACAUUUACUUGUUGUCCAGCUGGUGCUAGUAGCCAGUACGAGUGGUGGUUCGUAUCUGUGGGUUUUCUGUUACACUUUUGACAGAAAAAAGCUGCACAAGAUCACCCCUGUCACCUGGGUGUGUCUAAUACAAACAUUACUGUCAACUAUCAAUUUGAUUCUAAAAUGUCUCAUUAACUUCAUUUCAGAUGGUUAUUUCUGAAUUUAGUACCAAUUUAUUGUUGACCUGACAUGUGCUCUGUACCAAUUUAUUGCAUUAUUCUGUUAUUUAUUGUUAAAUAUGCUGUUAGAUUUACUUUUAUUUUGUUCCUAACUGUUUUUUUUUCAAUAACGUGCAAAUGUUGGCCUUUCAUGUUUCUUCAUGAGCAUCAGGACAAAGAAGUCGGAAGAAGCUGAUCCUAUUUGUAUCUGUGUAAUAACUUGGCGCAUGUGAUAGACUGUAAACUUGUAGAGCAGAUUGCUUCUUGUUGUUAUCUGAUUGUAAACUUCAUGCUGAUCACAUUUGUAUAUGUGUUAUAUGAUGUAGCAGAUUAUAUUGCUUCUUGCUGUAAUUUGAAGUAUUGCGUCUGUUUUCUGUCUAUUUCGAUUUAAAUAUUGGUUGUUUAGUUAUCGGCAUAUUUAUUGAAAUAUGAAAAACAUGACCUUGACAACAGGACCCACAAACUAGAAUGCCACAUUUGGGACCCACUUACCAGAACCUCAUAAUUAGGGCGCAUUAAAAAAAGAAAAACAAAUGCCACAACCCAAAAAAGGCUAAAAUGUUGGGCCUGGCCCAUGUAGUUG
Molecule: long non-coding RNA, 1658 nt
Filed under: Hordeum vulgare
Lineage: Eukaryota; Viridiplantae; Streptophyta; Magnoliopsida; Poales; Poaceae
Description: long non-coding RNA (HVUL_LNC016563)
Source: RNAcentral